RNAcentral lists this ribosomal RNA (254 nucleotides) under uncultured bacterium. Its description in RNAcentral is "partial 16S ribosomal RNA". It matches the Rfam family "Bacterial small subunit ribosomal RNA", at positions 524 to 776 of the family's 1533-position model. The record is from RNAcentral.
UACGUAGGGUGCAAGCGUUGUUCGGAUUUACUGGGCGUAAAGGGCGCGUAGGCGGUCAGCACAAGUCAGUUGUGAAAUCUCCGGGCUUAACCCGGAAAGGUCAACUGAUACUGUGCGACUAGAGUGCGGAAGGGGCAACUGGAAUUCUCGGUGUAGCGGUGAAAUGCGUAGAUAUCGAGAGGAACACCUGCGGCGAAGGCGGGUUGCUGGGCCGACACUGACGCUGAUGCGCGAAAGCCAGGGGAGCGAACGGG